CUAAGCCAUGCGAGUCAAAUGUUCUUCGUGAACAUGGCGUGCUGCUCAGUAACACGUGGAUAACCUGCCCUUUAGGACUGGCAUAACCCCGGGAAACUGGGGAUAAUUCCGGAUAGUUCAUGGUAGCUGGAAUGCUCCAUGAUCGAAAGCUAUUGCGCCUAAGGAUGGGUCUGCGGUCUAUCAGGUAGUAGUGGGUGUAAUGUACCUACUAGCCGACGACGGAUACGGGUUGUGGGAGCAAGAGCCCGGAGAUGGAUUCUGAGACAUGAAUCCAGGCCCUACGGGGCGCAGCAGGCGCGAAAACUUUACAAUGCGGGAAACCGCGAUAAGGGGACACCGAGUGCCAGCAUCUUAUGUUGGCUGUCCGCAUGUAUAAAUCACAUGUGUUAGCAAGGGCCGGGCAAGACCAGUGCCUGCCGCCGCGGUAACACCGGCGGCCCGAGUGGUGGCCACUAUUAUUGGGUCUAAAGGGUCCGUAGCCGGUUUGGUCAGUCUUCCGGGAAAUCUGACGGCUUAACCGUUAGGCUUUCGGGGGAUACUACCAGGCUUGGGACCGGGAGAGGUAAGAGGUACUACGGGGGUAGGAGUGAAAUCUUGUAAUCCUCGUGGGACCACCAGUGGCGAAGGCGUCUUACCAGGACGGGUCCGACGGUGAGGGACGAAAGCUGGGGGCACGAACCGGAUUAGAUACCCGGGUAGUCCCAGCCGUAAACUAUGCUCGCUAGGUGUCAGGGACGGUGCGACCGUUUCUGGUGCCGCAGGGAAGCCGUGAAGCGAGCCACCUGGGAAGUACGGUCGCAAGGCUGAAACUUAAAGGAAUUGGCGGGGGAGCACUACAACGGGUGGAGCCUGCGGUUUAAUUGGACUCAACGCCGGAAAACUCACCGGGGGCGACAGCAAUAUGUAGG
RNAcentral lists this ribosomal RNA (908 nucleotides) under uncultured archaeon. RNAcentral describes it as "bacterial SSU rRNA". It matches the Rfam family "Archaeal small subunit ribosomal RNA", at positions 44 to 953 of the family's 1478-position model. The record is from RNAcentral.